AAAUGGUUAAGCCAGAUCAUGCAUCCUCCCAGGCAAAGAAGCCAAGCUCUGUGAGUUGACAGAUCUCUGGACUGAACCAUCCCCAUCUGUCUCCAUACACUCCAUGUGACCAUUCACAGAAAGAUUUGCAAGGAGCUGCAAAAACAAACCGCAUUCCCCAGGCAAUGGUGCCCUUCCUUCGUGGGUUGCAAGACAUCUCAUACACUUUCAUCUGACCCUCCGAACAACCCAGUAAGGCCAGAAGAGGGCACCAGAUCUCAUUAUAG
Onychomys torridus (southern grasshopper mouse) is the source of this 266-nucleotide long non-coding RNA. RefSeq lists it as uncharacterized. Lineage: Eukaryota; Metazoa; Chordata; Mammalia; Rodentia; Cricetidae. The transcript has 3 exons. The record is from RefSeq and is a predicted model, not a curated record.